AUGUCUCGCUCUGUUGAUGAGCAGUAUGAGACUAAAAAGAGUCUAGCGAGAUCGAUCAGACGUGUUGCCCGACGUCUUUUCCAGCUGCAAUCCUACGGGUUGAAAACCAUCUGGGCCUUGGGCUUCUUGGGCCAGAGGGGGAUGCGAUAUGUCCAGAGUCCAGACCGAGUGGCCGCUGAAAUUUGCAAUCAUAUAGGGUUGAAAAAUAAAAUAAAAAGUACUUUCAUUGGAAAAUGUUAUAAAUUUUUUGAAGAUAGAAACCAAAGAAAGUUUGAGAGACGCAUUUCACCGCUGCAGAAAAUGAACCAGAUAUUGAGGUGA
Molecule: ribosomal RNA, 321 nt
Filed under: Triticum aestivum (bread wheat)
Lineage: Eukaryota; Viridiplantae; Streptophyta; Magnoliopsida; Poales; Poaceae
Description: partial small subunit ribosomal RNA
Source: RNAcentral